Molecule: ribosomal RNA, 251 nt
Filed under: uncultured prokaryote
Description: partial 16S rRNA
Rfam family: Bacterial small subunit ribosomal RNA
Source: RNAcentral
ACGUAGGAGGCAAACGUUAUCCGGAUUUACUGGGCGUAAAGCGCGUGUAGGUGGUUUGGUAAGUAGAGCGUGAAAGCUCCUGGCUCAACUGGGAGAGGUCGUUCUAAACUGCCGGACUAGAGGAUGGUAGAGGAAGGUGGAAUUCCGGGUGUAGCGGUGGAAUGCGCAGAUAUCCGGAGGAACACCAAUGGCGAAGGCGGCCUCCUGGGCCACUCCUGACGCUCAAACGCGAAAGUGAGGGUAGCAAACAG